AGAUAGAGACAUUCUUUGCUGAGAGUCGCCACAGUUUCCUGCUUCAACAGUGCUUGGAUGGAAACUGGCGCUCAUCCCCCACCCUGGCCAGCCAUCCAUAGCCAGCCCUCUGUCACCUCCACACUGUGCCCUUGGACCGCCUCAAGUCCUCUGCCACUACUCCAGUGCCAUGUAGUCACUGCUGCUGCUGCCUCUCCUUAGCCACCACCAUGAUGACACUGUCCCCCUUGCAGGGGUGCCAGAACUACCACCAGGACUCAGAGGCUGCCAUCAACUGCCAGAUUAACCUGGAGCUCUACACCUCCUACAUCUACCUGUCCAUGUCUUACUACUUUGACUGCGAUGACGUGGCUUUGAAGAACUUUGCCAAAUACUUUCUUCACCAAUCUCAUGAGGAGCGUGAACAAGCUGAGAAACUGAUGAAGGUGCAGAACCACCGAGGUGGCCAAAUCUUCCUUCAGGAUAUCAAGAAACCAGAUCAUGAUGGAGUGUGCAUUACAUUUGGAAAAGAAUGUGAAUCAAUCACUACUGGAACUGCACAAACUGGCCACUGACAAAAAUGACCCCCAUUUAUGUGACUUCAUUGAGACACAUUACCUGAAUGAGCAGGUGAAAUCCAUCAAAGAAUUGGGUGACCACAUGACCAACCUGUGCAAGAUGGGAGCACCCUGAUCGGGCUUAGCAGGAUAUCUCUUUGGCAAGCACACCCUGGGAGACAGCGAUAAUGAAAGCUAAGCCUUAGGCUAAUUUCCCCAUAGCCCUGGGGUGACUUCUCUGGUCACCAAGGCAAUACAUGCAUG
Cebus imitator (Panamanian white-faced capuchin) is the source of this 800-nucleotide RNA transcript. It is a transcript of the gene named ferritin heavy chain-like, with no coding region annotated. NCBI's taxonomy places the organism in Eukaryota, Metazoa, Chordata, Mammalia, Primates, Cebidae. The record is from RefSeq and is a predicted model, not a curated record. The transcript has a single exon.